CCCAGACUCCUACGGGAGGCAGCAGUGGGGAAUAUUGCACAAUGGGGGAAACCCUGAUGCAGCGACGCCGCGUGAGCGACGAAGUAUUUCGGUAUGUAAAGCUCUAUCAGCAGGGAAGAAAAUGACGGUACCUGACUAAGAAGCCCCGGCUAACUACGUGCCAGCAGCCGCGGUAAUACGUAGGGGGCAAGCGUUAUCCGGAUUUACUGGGUGUAAAGGGAGCGUAGACGGUCCUGCAAGCCAGAUGUGAAAGCCCGGGGCUCAACCCCGGGACUGCAUUUGGAACUGUAAGGCUAGAGUGUCGGAGAGGCAGGCGGAAUUCCUAGUGUAGCGGUGAAAUGCGUAGAUAUACGGAGGAACACCAGUGGCGAAGGCGGCCUGCUGGACAUUAACUGACGCUGAGGCGCGAAAGCGUGGGGAGCAAACAGGAUUAGAUACCCCCGUACAC
This 448-nucleotide ribosomal RNA is filed under the name uncultured bacterium. RNAcentral's name for it is "bacterial SSU rRNA". It matches the Rfam family "Bacterial small subunit ribosomal RNA", at positions 330 to 795 of the family's 1533-position model. The record is from RNAcentral.